UGCCUGCCCAGUGAUUUUUAAGAAAAUUAAACGGCUGCGGUACUCUGACCGUGCAAAGGUAGCAUAAUCAUUAGCCUGUUAAUUCCAGGAUGGAAUCAAUGGCAAGACGAAGAAAAAACUGUCUCUUUCUAUUAAUUUAGAAGUUUUCAUUUUGGUGAAGAGGCCAAAAUAAUGAAGUGGGACGAGAAGACCCUAUUGAGUUUUAACUUUACUUUAAUAAAACUUAUAUUAUAGUGAGUUUUGAUUGGGGCAAUCAUUAAUAAAAUUAUACAUUAUAGAAGUUAAGGAAGAAUUAAGUCUUGUUUAAAGAGCCAAAAUAUUUUGAAGUUAGAAAAAAUUACCAUAGGGAUAACAGCGUAAUUCUUUUUGAGAGUACAUAUUGACAAAAGAGUUUGCGACCUCGAUGUUGGAUCAAGUUUUCCUGAAGGUGCAGUCGCUUUCAUGGGUUGGUUUGUUCAACCAUUAAAAUCUU
This 472-nucleotide ribosomal RNA is filed under the name Astroboa arctos. RNAcentral's name for it is "partial 16S ribosomal RNA". It matches the Rfam family "Bacterial large subunit ribosomal RNA", at positions 1856 to 2597 of the family's 2925-position model. Lineage: Eukaryota; Metazoa; Echinodermata; Ophiuroidea; Euryalida; Gorgonocephalidae. The record is from RNAcentral.